This 403-nucleotide ribosomal RNA is filed under the name uncultured bacterium. RNAcentral describes it as "partial 16S ribosomal RNA". It matches the Rfam family "Bacterial small subunit ribosomal RNA", at positions 30 to 526 of the family's 1533-position model. The record is from RNAcentral.
AUUGAACGCUGGCGGCAGGCCUAACACAUGCAAGUCGAGCGAGCGGCGGACGGGUGAGUAAUGUAUGGGGACUGCCCGAUAGAGGGGGAUAACUACUGGAAACGGUGGCUAAUACCGCAUACUAUCGGAUAACCCAUAUGGGAUUAGCUAGUAGGGGGGGUAAAGGCUCACCUAGGCGACCAUCUCUCACUGGUCUGAGAGGAUGAUCGCCCACACUGGGACUGAGACACGGCCCAGAGUCUUACGGAGGCAGCGGUGGGGAAUAUUGCCAAAUGGGCGCAAGCCUGAUGCGGACAGGCCGCGUGUAUGAGACAGGCCUUAGGGUUGUAAGGUACUUUCAGCGGGGAGGCGGUACCCGCAGAAGAAGCACCGGCUAACUCCGUGCCAGCAGCCGCGGUAAUUC